Coffea eugenioides is the source of this 2655-nucleotide RNA transcript. It is a transcript of the gene named probable L-cysteine desulfhydrase, chloroplastic, with no coding region annotated. Lineage: Eukaryota; Viridiplantae; Streptophyta; Magnoliopsida; Gentianales; Rubiaceae. The record is from RefSeq and is a predicted model, not a curated record. The transcript is spliced from 2 exons.
UCUCUCUCUCACACACACACACACAGAGGCUUGCUCUGACCUGAUGGGCAGCUCCACCCUCUCUGAGCACUAAAACCUCUCCAAGAAUAUGACACCUCGCCCAUUCCAUCUUCCUCCAUCUUAACUCUCCUCCUGCCAUGGCCUCCGACGACCACCACAUUCCCAACGGCUCCACCACCACCCCACCUGACAUUCAAUUCGAAUUCGCCCACCACGACCCCGCAAUAGCCCGCAUCAACAACGGCAGCUUCGGUUCCUGCCCAUCCUCCGUAAUCUCCGCCCAGCAAGAUUGGCAGCUCAAAUGGCUUCAACAACCCGAUGAUUUCUACUUCAACACCCUCAAGCCCUCCAUCUUAAAAGCCCGUUUAAUCAUCCGGGACCUCAUCAACGCCGACCACGUGGAGGAAAUCUCCAUCGUCGAUAACGCCACCACGGCCGCAGCCAUUGUCCUGCAGCAUGUUACCUGGUCCUUUUUGUCCUCCCAGUUUCAGCCCGGCGACGCGGCAAUCAUUCUCCACUAUGCUUAUGGGGCCGUCAAGAAAUCCCUCCAGGCCUAUGUUGCCCGCGCCGGCGGCCAAAUUAUUGAGGUGAAGCUUCCGUUCCCCGUGAAUUCGGAUGAAGAAAUUAUUCAAGAAUUCAGAAAGGCCCUUGAAUUGGGGAGGAUGAAUGGUAGGAAAAUCAGGCUAGCUUUGAUUGAUCAUAUUACUUCAAUGCCUAGCGUUGUUAUUCCUGUCAAAGAAUUGGUUAAGAUGUGUAGAGAGGAAGAUGUGGAUCAGAUAUUUGUUGAUGGGGCACACUCCAUUGGGUGUGUGGAUAUUGAUGUGAAAGAUAUUGGGGCUGAUUACUACACUAGUAAUCUGCAUAAGUGGUUUUUUUGCCCGCCAGCUGUGGCGUUUUUGUACUGUAAAAAAUCGGAUAUUUUGAAUCAAUUGCAUCAUCCUGUUGUUUCACAUGAAUACGGGAAUGGAUUGGCGAUCGAGAGUUCUUGGAUCGGUACCAGGGACUAUAGUGCUCAGUUGGUAGUUCCAGAGGUGAUGGACUUUGUGAAUAGGUUUGAUGGUGGGAUUGAUGGAAUUAAGAAGAGGAAUCACGAGAAGGUUGUGGAAAUGGCAAUUAUGUUGGCUAAGGCGUGGGGGACGCAUCUAGGUGUGCCUCCACAUAUGUGUUCCAGCAUGGCUAUGGUGGGAUUGCCUGCUUGUUUGGGGAUUUUUAGUCACUCUGAUGGCUUGAAGUUGAGGGCUUAUUUAAGGGAUUGUUUUAAAGUUGAAGUGCCAAUAUACCAUAGAGAACCAGAAAAAGGGGAGGAUAGUCCUAUAACAGGGUAUGCAAGGAUUUCCCAUCAAGUGUAUAACACAGUUGAGGAUUAUUAUAAGUUCAGGGAUGCUGUUAACAAGCUCGUUAACGAUGGUGUUACUUGUGCUUUUCUCUCAGAUUGAGAAGGUUAUACAUCUUUCUUGGAAGCUACUUCUGAAUUUUUGCUCUUUCCUACAUUUGCAUGUCAAAUUACUAACUCGUGAGGUAACAAUAUGUAUCAAAAUAAUGAGAAGCUGAUGAUCGAAGGAGUUAGUCAUGCCAUAUUACGGUUGCUUUUCUCACGGAUUGGGUUUUGUAGAAUUUGCUACCAACAGGAACUUUGGAAAUUGAGUUACUUGAUUUCUAGGUCAAGUUGACUCUUUUAAACGUUUUGUGGAUCUCUUUCUUUAUAUCUAUAUCUACCGUCUGAAGCUUGGUCCUUCUGCUCUUGCUUUGUAUACUACUUGCCUUUUGCAGCUAUGUAUGGGUAAAGAAAAUAAAGGUCUUGGUUUGAUAGAAUCAUUUGAUGGUUCCAGAUCAAAAGUAUAGAACGUGUCUGCAUCAAAAGGAGCUCCUUCAUUUUCAGAAAAACAGAGCAUAGGUCGUAAAAUUUUUUCUUGUGCAAAAGUCCGUUUUCGUUACGAAAAUUCUUUCUAGAUCACUGGCUGAUGAAUGAUUGUUUUUCAAAUAAGAAAUACUUCUUGGUUCCUCUUCAUCAGUUUAAUUUGGUGCUGACCACCAUAGCUUCAAGAGGUUGAAGACAAAGACCUGUAAAUUGAAGUGCUUACCUGCACUCAAAAGCUUGCCUUCAUGGCCGUUGAUGCUUCAGCUACUAAAAUACCUCUGAUACUUGCCAUUCAUGCUGUUGGAGCUAUUGGCUAAUAAAGUGCCUCAACAAGAAUUAUGUGACUUAAUUGAUUUCACUUGAUGGACUUGACACCUUCAAAUGCAAAUGGAAGUUUGCUGUGAAGUGUUAAGCCAGAAACUCAUCCACUAAAAGCUCUGUUGUACUAUCCUGGAUGAUAUAGCUAUGUCCAUUUAACUUGUAAAGGGGACAUAUUAACGGGGAUCGUUUGAAGAGCUGGCACAUUGUCCUACUCGAAUUCCUUGGACACUGGAGUUGUUAGGUCAUUGUCUAGAUGUCUUUCCUAACAUCAGUUUCAGUAUUUUAUUUGAAUGGGCUGCAUCAGCAUUCUAGCUCGUUGGGUGGAAGGACUGCUGCUUCUUUUAAGCUGAAGUUAUACAUACAUUUUUUUUUUUUUUUCAGGUGUAGAUUUCAGUUACAAUGUAGUCACUGUUGCAUUGGCAAUGGUCAUGGUUUGAGGAAACAUGUACCUUUUUUAUUGAUUUUGUUUCCAAAAA